This 302-nucleotide ribosomal RNA is filed under the name uncultured bacterium. RNAcentral describes it as "partial 16S ribosomal RNA". It matches the Rfam family "Bacterial small subunit ribosomal RNA", at positions 508 to 807 of the family's 1533-position model. The record is from RNAcentral.
GCAGUAGCCGCGGUAAUACGUAGGUGGCAAGCGUUGUCCGGAAUUAUUGGGCGUAAAGGGCUCGCAGGCGGUUUCUUAAGUCUGAUGUGAAAGCCCCCGGCUCAACCGGGGAGGGUCAUUGGAAACUGGGAAACUUGAGUGCAGAGGAGGAGAGUGGAAUUCCACGUGUAGCGGUAAAAUGCGUAGAGAUGUGGAGGAACACCAGUGGCGAAGGCGACUCUCUGGUCUGUAACUGACGCUGAGGAGCGAAAGCGUGGGGAGCGAACAGGAUUAGAUACCCGUGUAGUCCCUGUCUCUUAUAC